Long non-coding RNA from Myzus persicae (green peach aphid), 1873 nucleotides. RefSeq lists it as uncharacterized. Lineage: Eukaryota; Metazoa; Arthropoda; Insecta; Hemiptera; Aphididae. The transcript is spliced from 7 exons. The record is from RefSeq and is a predicted model, not a curated record.
CAAUAUUGCAUGUAUGUCCCCUACGCUGUUUUACACUAUUGUAAUAUUUAUUACUUGGGUUCGUAUUUGUAUUAUUCUUAUCGUGUUCACUGUUGUCUGCUUGACGUUCCUUCAGAUUGUUAAUAAUUGUAUUGCAUCAACCGUAUACUCUUGUUUUCAUUGUUUAAAUUGUUUUAAAUUGUAAUACAAUGAGUGAUUGUGAUUCUUCAACCGAAGUCGAUCAGGUUGCAGAUUUAGAAGAACCAAUUUUACCCUGGCCAAAUUAUCAAAAAUAUUUUAAAGUAUUAAGAGUCAUUGAGGAUAUUUUUUUUACAAGAAGCUGAAAGUGAAGUGCUUAAGUUGUGUCGAUACAAAGUGUUACAAGGUGGAUUCACGUUCAAACUCUAAUAUAAGAAAACAUUUAAGCACACAACAUUCAACUAUAUUAAAGAAAAUUGAUCACAUUGGUAAUGCAGCGAACAAAAACACUUUAAAGAGAUGCAAUGAUGGAUCAUUGAAGCAUAUGCUGGUAGUUCUUUAAAACAAUCAGAUAAAAACAACCAGUGUUAGAAGAUUUUUUGAAAAACAAAAAAUUAACUAGUCAAAUUGCAGCAUUAACAAAAGUAGUUGAUAUUUACAUGACUACAUGACUAUAUACUGAUACAUUGCUAGUGAAUGAUACGGUUGUUAAUGAUUUAGAAGAAAUCGACGCAUUCAACUUGAACAUUCUAAAUGAUGAAGACCAUGAUUUACCAUAUGUAUCACCAAAACACCAUCAAUGUUGUGCACACACAAUAAAUUUAAUAGCAACAAUGGUAAUUGAACAUUUAUUUAAGAAGGACUCUAAAAAAGCUUUGUCUAAUCUUGCAUACAAAAAACAGUCAAGGAGUACUUUUGCCUAGUCUACCGCUUUGUGGAAUAAACAAGGUCGCUCAACUAAGUCAGCUGAUUUAUUUAAACAAAAUCUUGGUGUUUAUUUAAUUAUAUCCAACGAGACACGUUGGAAUUCACUGUAUGAUGCAGUGAUGCUGUUUAAUAAAUAAAUUAAAAAUAAUGAACUUAAGUUUAGAAUAAUAAUGGACAAAUUGGCUUUUGGCAGAUUUAAUAGAAGUGAUAUUUAUUUCAUGUGUCAAUAUCAAACAAUUAUGGGGCAAAUAUCAAUAAGCUUGGAUUUACUCCAGGGUGAUACUAACAUGUACUUUGGUAAUCUCCUACCUACAAUUGAAGAAUUAAUUUAUAAAUAUGAAUUAAUGACAAGUGAUUAGCAGUUUCUAAUUAUUCGAAACCUCUGGUGACUGCCAUACUUAGUGGUAUGAAAACAAGGUUUGCCGAUUAUUUGAUACCAAAUUUUUAAUUACUGCUGCAGUCUGCCACCCACCAUUUAAAAAAAAAGGGAUUAAAAAUGAUAUAAAAAAAUAAUUGGCACCAGAAUAUUUAAAAAGUGUCUGUUAUGACUUACAUACUAGUGAUAAUGACAAUAAUGAUGUAGAAGAUAAUCAAAUGAAAGAUAAUUUAUCUACCUUUUUUACCUGGUCACAAAAUUCUCGAGAGGAAAAAUCAACAGUUGGUGAUGAAAUAGAUAGAUAUUUGGGCACAUCUUCAACAAAGACUAGAAUGUUUGCAUCAUUUACCCACUAUCAAAAAAGUAUUGGUGAAGUACAACACUCCACUACCUAUCAGUGCAUCAGUAGAGAGCAUAGGCGGUCCCAGGAUUUUACUUCAGGUGCAGCCGUGCAGCAUAGAUGGCUAAUUUCUAAAUGUUAGGGGUAUUGGAAAUGUGUACGAAGUUAGAUUUACUGAGUAUCAAUGAACCAUAAUUUACUUUAGACUAUUAUAUAUAAUUUUUGAAACUAGUAAACUAGUAAUUUCCUUUCCUCCGAACUUGGUUUUUUUU